CAUAAAUCACUUUUUUAACCUAACAAAUUUCAAUAAUAAUUCUGUUUGGAUUGAUUCUUCUAAAUUUUAGUGUAGAACUGUUUGCCAACCUGUGACAUUGACUACCAAUUUUCUUAAAGUUUAUAAUUAUCCGUAAGAUUUACGUAGAACCAAGUACUUGUAUUGAUGAGUCUAAAUUUUAAUGUUGAAAGGUGUGCCAACAGCUGAAAUCAACUCACUAAACUUCAUAAAGUGUACAAUAAUCUGUAAGAAUUUCAAAGAAUACGAGAACUGAGAAUAACAUACAUGUUUAAGAAAAUGAGAGGUAAAAAUAAAGAAGAAUGUGAGGUAAAGAGAGAAGACGAAGAAGGGUGUGGUUGUUGGUUCAAGAAUUUCUUUUCUCCGAUUCCCAAACCAGUUUGUGAGCCUCCACCAAAGAAAGGGUUUUUUCAUUGGAAAUGGAAUAAAUGUAACCACCCCAGUGUUGAUAAAGCUGCAGUGAAAUGUGAAUUUAAACCAAUGCUAAGAGUUGGUUUAUUGUUUGUUGAAUUUUUAAGAAAGUUGUUCAUACCAUCUCCAUACCUGCAUUAGCUCAAGAUCCAUGACGUGCGUAGAAAGUUUCUUGGGAAACUUUUCAUACCAUCGGCAAGUACAUUUGUAGUUUAUGCAAAGGGGAAAGAAGACAAAGUAGAGCCACCUAAAAAUUUACCAGCUGAAUGCGAAAAAUUGAUUAGAGCUUUAGAUCUUCCUCUUUAUAGAGAAAAUAAAGGAAAAAGUGAAGAAGUAAAAAACCAAUUAAGCGAUGAUAAUUUCAUCGUGAGAACAGUAAGGUGUAUGAGAGAAGAGCUUAAAGUAUUUUCUGAUCAAUUUUCAAUAGUAAGGCAACAAGUAGCUGGUGUUCUUCUAACUGGGAAAGCUCACACUGCUCAGACCAUUGAUUAUCUUAGAGAGCCUGAAAAUACAUACCCAAGAAUCGGAGCUAUAACUGCAGGUGCUCUUACUGGAUAUUUACUUGCUCUACGUAAAGGACGAUUUAAGAAGCUGGUAUACUUGGGUACUGGUGCUGGCCUAGCAGGUGCUGUAUUAUAUCCUGAAGAAUCUAAAGAUUUGGGCGAAGAGGGGCUUAAAUACAUGAAGAAAUAUGUAGUCAUUGCUUACCACUUCUUAAAUGGAGUUAGUCGUGAUUUAACUGGGUUUGAGCUACCUAAUUUACCACUAAAUAAUCAUCAUUUAAGUGUUACCGAUGGUCAUCACAAGGAAAGUGGUGACUCAGUGCCAGAACCGAGUCAUCUGUUGCCCCCUACUGCAGCCGCAACUCAUUUGCAUUUACACCCCGAUGAGGUGAAAAAAUAAAAGUAAAAAAUGAAGAAUAGAACAGGAUUGGACUAAUUCAACUAUAGAAUGUUAAUAAUUUAUUCCUUCAAUAAAUACUGUUACUAGGUAAUUUUAAAUUUGGUUUCUUAUGGUUAUCAAAAACAAUUAGCUAAGAUUGUCUAUACUGGUCAUACUUUUUACUUUACAGUAAGUUCAAUGAACUUUGUUUUAUUGUUAUUUGUUUUUAAUUUAAAAAAAGAAUAUUGUUUUCAUUAAUUUAAUUUUAUUAUUAAAAUUUUUUAAAUAAAUAUUUUUGGGGAUAAGCUCUAUAAUUUUUUAAAACAUUUAUUUACUAUAAGAUUUUUUUUAGGAUUGAAAAUUUUCAUUAUAUUUUGUUAUAAUUAUUUUUCUUUAUGAAAGAUUUUUUUUUGUUUAAUUUUUUAUUAAUAUUUUAUAUUUACUUUAUGUUUAUAAUAAAUAAUGAUAAAAUUAGUAAUUUUUUUAAUCUGUUUAUAGUAACUCGGCAAAUUUAAUUUUCACCUGUUUAACAAAAACAUGGUCUUUUGUUUUUUAUUUAAGAUCAGGCCUGCCCAUUGAUUUUAAAAAAUUAAAAGGCUGCGGUAUUUUAACUGUACGAAGGUAGCAUAAUCAUUUGUCUUUUAAUUGUAGGCUAGAAUGAAUGGUUUAAUGAAAAAUUAACUUUCUUUAUUCAGUUAAAUUUAAUUUAAUUUUUAAGUUAAAAAGCUUAAAUUUUUAUAUAGGACGAGAAGACCCUUUAGAAGUUUACUUUUUUUAUAAAAAUUAUUUUUUAGUUUUUAAAUAAUUUUUUUUUGAAUGAAAAGUUUGGUUGGGGUGACAGUAAAAUUUAAUUAACUUUUAUUUUUAAUUUCAUUUAUAAAUGUUUUUUUGAUCCAAAAUUUUUGAUUAAAAGAUCAACUUACCUAAGGGAUAACAGCGUAAUUUUUUUGGAGAGUUCAUAUCGAUAAAAAAGUUUGCGACCUCGAUGUUGAAUUAAGAUUAGAAUUGGGUGAAGAAUUUCAAUUUUCUUGGUCUGUUCGACCAUUAAAUUCUUACAUGAUUUGAGUUCAGACCGGCGUGAGCCAGGUCGGUUUCUAUCCUUACUUAAUAUAAUUUAGUACGAAAGGACCAUUUAUAUUAAUUAAAUUAUUUUUUUUGAUU
This 2472-nucleotide ribosomal RNA is filed under the name Microvelia pulchella. RNAcentral's name for it is "partial 16S ribosomal RNA". The stretch from base 2241 to 2400 matches the Rfam family "Archaeal large subunit ribosomal RNA", at positions 2544 to 2703 of the family's 2987-position model. Lineage: Eukaryota; Metazoa; Arthropoda; Insecta; Hemiptera; Veliidae. The record is from RNAcentral.